Molecule: ribosomal RNA, 684 nt
Filed under: Triticum aestivum (bread wheat)
Lineage: Eukaryota; Viridiplantae; Streptophyta; Magnoliopsida; Poales; Poaceae
Description: partial small subunit ribosomal RNA
Source: RNAcentral
AUGUGCUUUCUUGGUAUCCUAAAUAUAAGAUUAAUACUUCAAGUUGCUGAGUUGAGAAAGAGAUGGUUGAAUCAAAAGAAUUCCUUUUUUGAAGUUCAAUUUUUAUCAGAGGACAAUAUGAAUAUUAUACCUUGUUCCAUUAAAACACUCAAGGGGUUAUAUGAUAUAUCGGGUGUAGAAGUAGGCCAACACUUCUAUUGGCAAAUAGGAGGUUUCCAAAUUCAUGCCCAAGUACUCAUCACUUCUUGGGUCGUAAUUACUAUCUUGCUAGGUUCAGUUGUCAUAGCUGUUCGGAAUCCACAAACCAUCCCGACCGAUGGUCAGAAUUUUUUUGAAUAUGUCCUUGAGUUUAUUCGAGACUUGAGCAAAACUCAGAUUGGAGAAGAAUAUGGUCCCUGGGUUCCCUUUAUUGGAACUAUGUUCCUUUUUAUUUUUGUUUCGAAUUGGUCGGGUGCUCUUUUACCUUGGAAAAUUAUAGAGUUACCCCAUGGGGAAUUAGCAGCGCCCACGAAUGAUAUAAAUACUACUGUUGCUUUAGCUUUACUCACGUCAGUGGCAUAUUUUUAUGCUGGUCUUAGCAAAAAAGGAUUGAGCUAUUUCGAGAAAUAUAUUAAACCAACUCCAAUCCUUUUACCAAUUAACAUCCUAGAAGAUUUCACAAAACCAUUAUCGCUUAGCUUUUGA